CUACGGGGCGCAGCAGUGAGGAAUUUUGCGCAAUGGGGGAACCCUGACGCAGCAACGCCGCGUGAGUGAUGAAGGCUUUCGGGUCGUAAAGCUCUGUCAAGUGGGAAGAACCUAUGCAGUGUUAAUAUCACUGUAUACUGACGGUACCACUGAAGGAAGCACCGGCUAACUCCGUGCCAGCAGCCGCGGUAAUACGGGGGGUGCAAUCGUUAUUCGGAAUCAUUGGGCGUAAAGGGCACGUAGGCGGCUUGGUAAGUCAGAUGUGAAAGCCCGGGGCUUAACCCCGGAAGUGCAUUUGAUACUGUCAGGCUUGAGUAUGGGAGAGGGAAGUGGAAUUCCUGGUGUAGAGGUGAAAUUCGUAGAUAUCAGGAGGAACACCGGUGGCGAAGGCGACUUCCUGGACCAAUACUGACGCUGAGGUGCGAAGGCGUGGGUAGCAAACAGGAUUAGAUACCCGAGUAGUC
Molecule: ribosomal RNA, 464 nt
Filed under: uncultured bacterium
Lineage: Bacteria
Description: partial 16S ribosomal RNA
Rfam family: Bacterial small subunit ribosomal RNA
Source: RNAcentral